UUUUUCCUGCGGGGUGCGUGAUGGGCUUUAUUUAAACCCACAUCUCUGAAACGGGAUGUCGCCCUCACGGCGUGGAUUGCAGGCCUCCCGGCCCCCUUUGUGGGUCACUGGAAGUUGGAAGCAAGGAAGCGCUGUGGAGACAACCCACCUGCCAAUUACGUGCAGGUUUUAAAGGAGUCCACACGGCUUCUGCGGGACCCCC
RNAcentral lists this non-coding RNA (202 nucleotides) under Pseudoflavonifractor sp. MCC625. RNAcentral's name for it is "6S RNA". It matches the Rfam family "6S / SsrS RNA". From Rfam's summary of the family: E. coli 6S RNA was the first non coding RNA to be sequenced, but its function was unknown until recently. It consists of 184 nucleotides that fold into an extended hairpin structure with a large single-stranded internal bulge. The 6S RNA specifically associates with RNA polymerase holoenzyme containing the sigma70 specificity factor. Lineage: Bacteria; Bacillati; Bacillota; Clostridia; Eubacteriales; Oscillospiraceae. RNAcentral also lists the same sequence under 1 other name. The record is from RNAcentral.